AGGGCUGUGUGUCCUUCACUAUCAUGGAGACGAGGGCUUCAUCCAGCUCUUGUUUUCUGGUGGCUGGAUAAGAGAGAAUAAAUACAGUGUCUGUUACCUGUCUUUAUUUGCACAAUAAACAGUGAACAGGGACAAAUUGUGAUGGUACAAUUGUAAUAUUGUAAUGACUUAACUUGGCUGGGUGAAGCUCCAGUUUCCUCCUUAUUCUCAUCGAAAGCGCGGUGAUGCCUUAGCACGGAUGAGGUGUUGUUAUUGUACUCCAACUCCUUGGAGCAGUUCUUGAUGAGCAAACUUAAUGUGUUUGAAAUGGAGUUAGAUUUAGCUUACCUUAUUAGGAGUCAUCGAGUGUUCCCACACAGGGGAAAUCCUCCUCUUCCUAGCUGGCUCGACCAUAUCACCGAUCCUUCCCUCCUCACUUUCCUAAUUCUCCAAACUAUCUCUCUCCCUCUCUAACCUCUCCAAACUAUCUCUCUCCCUCUAACUUCUCCAAACUAUAUAAAGGCUAUCCAAACUCUCAACUCCACCAACAACCCACAUUUUGAAUGGAGCCUGAGGGGUUUAUAUUGCCGUCAAACGUCCCCUAACGUCCCCUCAAAUAAGCCAAUCUACAAUUUGCUAUAGAUAAGUAGCGUUACAAGUACAAUUUAAGCGCUACAGUUUGUUAGUCCUUUAGUUGAGGUAGAGUCUGAAGAGGUGUGUCUUUAGUUUGCGGCGGAAGACGUGAAGGCUUUCUGCGGUCCUGGUGUCUUCAGAGAGCUCGUUCCACCAUUUCGGAGCAAGGACAGCAAAGAGUCGUGAUCUAGUCAAGUGUUUUGCACUCAGUGAGGGAGGGACAAGCAGUUUAUCAGAUGCAGAGCGGAGAGUGCGGGUCGGGAUGUGGGGUUUGACCAUGUCCUAGAUGUAAGCUGGACCGGUAGCCAGUGAAGAGAGCGGAGGAGUGGAGUAUUGUGGGAGAAUUAAGGAAGGUUAAAGACCAGUCAAGCUGCUGCAUUCUGAAUGAGCUGCAGAGGUCGAAUCGCGAUAGCGGGGAGAACUGCCAGGAGUUACGAUGGUCCAGGUGGGAGAUGACAAGAGCCUGAAUCAGUGCCUGUGUAGCAGUAGGAGUAGACUCCUAAUCACCGUAUGCCCGCGGGACCAAUCAGAGGGCAGGGACCGGUAUAAACAAACCACAGUAGUCUCCUCCCUCCUAUCGCCCUCUUGGCCAGGUGACGGAACAGUGUCAGUCUUCUGCGUCAUUCACCCGGCAUGGUUGUUCGGCGCUGCUACAGGUAAGGUUGUGAACUGGCUGUCUCCGCGCACUUUAUCUCGCUAAUGCCGUCAGCUGCCUUUUAUAUCUCGUAUGUGAUCCCCAUAGAUCCCCGGCUGUCGAAACCGCGUAGCUCCCUAACAUAGAGCGACCGCCACGAAGCUUGCCGAGCGGCGUGAUCGCCCGAGCUGUCUCCUUCACGGCGACGUCAGUAACUUGUUUAAUUGGGAUUGUACCGGAGGAUCUUGGCCACCGUUAGCAGUCCAACUAGCUGCUGUUUUGCCUAUACGCCUUCUACCUCGGUUUGCGUACAUGUGUUUUUUUGUACUGCGUUGCCUCAAUUGUUUUGGGCCGGACCGCCUACACCGUUGUGCUCGGACGGCUUUACCCGGAUGAACAAUUUUAGCGUGACGUUCGAUCUUUCCCUUCCCCUUGACUUAUUGGGUCGAUGGAGUUAUCUUGUUUUCUUUAUUGUUUAGUUUGUUCUGUAUUUUUGUUUCUUUAUAACCGGGUGAGUGAACCCGGUUGUAUGUACGCGUGUUUAACGUUUUGUUUCUUUAUUCUUUCUAGAGCUGAACGCCGAAGGUGGUGGUGUGGUGUCCCGGUGGUGGUAUCCCUUUACUCGUUUGCUGUGGUCUUUCGUUUUCAUUUAUUUUGCUGUGCUCACUAUUUUGUUUUUGUGUUCACGGGUGUCUUCUCCUGAAACCUCCCCCGCUGCCCUCGUGUCCCCUCCACAACCACUGGUAAGCCUCAGCGUUCAUUAUUUUGUUUAUUAUUUUGACCAUUAUUACCCCCAUUAAUUUCCCUUUUGUUGUGGAGAUUGUGAGCGUGUUUUAAAUUGUUUUAUGGAUCCUCGUAUUUUAUUGUAAUAAACUUAUAACCCCUUUUUGUACAUUGAACCACGUCUUUGGCAUCUUUUGUGAUACUUACCUGCGUGACCUUAUUAGUUAGUAUUCUCUGGGUGAAAUUCCCAGGAUGGCGUUGCUGGUCCCUGUUCUGCCACAAGGUGGCACUGUAGUUAAAUUGCCAUAAAUUGGCGCGAUUAUGUAAUCUCGUGCUGCCACACCUGUGCUGCCUUCUGAGUGAGAAAGGGACGUAUUCUCCUGAUGGUGUCAUCUUGAAAGAAAAAAAACAAAAUGUAUUAAAAAAGAAAAACAAAUAUCACAUGGUCAAAAGUAUUCAGGCCAACUGCUGUGACAUUCAUAUUUAACUCACAUGCUGUGCAUUUCUUUUGAUCCUCCUUGAGAUGGUUCUACUCCUUGGAGUCCUGCUGUGUUUAAUUAAACUGAUAGGACUUGAUUAAGAAAGGCAAACACCUUGUUAGAGCAAAUGAGAAUCAUGAGGUUGAAGGAACUGCUCAAGGAGCUCAGAGACAGAAUUGUGGCAAGGCACAGAUCAGGCUCAGACUCUUCCUAGACCUGGCUGUCCAGCCUAACUGAGCAAUCGUGGGAGAAGAGCCUUGUUGAGAGAGGUAACAAAGAACCCAAACCCCACUGUGGUCAGCCACAGUGAUCUUUGGGUCCCAAAGCUCCAAAGAUGCAGUAGGGUGGUGGGAGGAAGUUCCACAAAGUCAACUAUCACUGCAGCCCUCAACUAGUCGGGGCUUAAUGGUAGAGUGGCCCGACGGAAGCCUCUCCUCAGUGCAAGACAUAUGAAAGCCUGCAUAGAGUUUGUCAAAAACACAUGAAGGACUCCCAGAGUAUGAAAAAUAAGGAUCUCUGGUCUGAUGAGAACAAGACUGAACUUUUUGGCGUUAAUUCUAAGCGCUAUGUGUGGAGAAAAUCAGGCACUGCUUAUCACCUGCCCAAUCACUGAAAUAUGGUGGUGGCAGCAUGGGGGUGUUUUUCAGCUGCAGGGACAGGACUACUGCUUGCAAUUGAAGGAAAGAUGAAUGCGGCCAAGUACAGAGAUAUCCUGGAAACCUCAUCCAGAGUGCUCGAGACCUCAGACUGGGCUGAAGGUUCACCUUCCAACAAGACAAUGACCCUGAGCACACAGCUAAAAUAACAAAGUGGCUUCGGAACAACUCUGUGACCAUUCUUGACUGUCCCAGCCAGAGCCCUGACCUAAACCCAAUUGAGCAUGUCUGGAGAGACCUGAAAAUUGCGGUCCACCAACCUUUACCAUCCAACCGGAACUGGAGAGGAUCUCCAAAUCCAGGUGUGAAAAACGUGUUGCAUCAUUCCCAAGAAAACUCAUGGCUGUACUAGCUCAAAAGGGUGCUUCUACUCAAUACUGGGCCAAAUCUCCGAAUACGUAUGGCCAUGUGAUAUUUCAGGUUUUCUUUGUUAAUAAAUUUCUGCAUCUGUUUUUUUAAUCUUUUUAUUUUUUUUCUGAAGAUGGGGUUCUGAGUGUACAUUAAUGCCCAUAGACUACCCAUAGUGACUCUCUCUACCAACAAACUCCUGGAACAAUGAGUGCCUACAGUUGUCAUUUAGGCAGGCUCCAAAGGUGACCCGCCACCACCCCUGACACCUCCAAUCUACACCCGAAUCUGGCAUAGCAGAAGAGUUAUGCAACUUGGGUUUUUCCACCACCACCACCAGUGUCUGGACUUCCAAAGGGGGGGGGGGGGGGGUAUGCCUCGUCUCGAGAUCCCAGCCCCGGGUCUAUCCUGCGGCAGGAUGUAGUCCAAGCCCCAAACAACUUGCAAUAUCAUAUUAUACCUGUUAUAAUAAAGCAUUGUUCAAAUUUCAACAAGUCUCUCUGGAUUGAAAUGCAAUCAUAGCUGUGCAUUGGUAUUAUUCUGUUAAU
Molecule: long non-coding RNA, 4000 nt
Organism: Gasterosteus aculeatus aculeatus (three-spined stickleback)
Lineage: Eukaryota; Metazoa; Chordata; Actinopteri; Perciformes; Gasterosteidae
Source: Ensembl